Molecule: ribosomal RNA, 889 nt
Filed under: uncultured bacterium
Lineage: Bacteria
Description: bacterial SSU rRNA
Rfam family: Bacterial small subunit ribosomal RNA
Source: RNAcentral
GCUUAGAGUUUGAUCCUGGCUCAGGAUGAACGCUGGCGGCGUGCCUAAUACAUGCAAGUCGAACGAGAAUCCUUGAUUUCGGUUGAGGAGGACAGUGGCGCACGGGUGAGUAACACGUAGCUGACCUACCCUUCGCAGGGGGAUAACUUGCCGAAAGGCGAGCUAAUACCGCGUACGCUCUUUGGGGUUAGAGGCCUGGAGAGGAAAGCGUAUGGCAGCGGCGAAGGCGGGGGCUGCGGCCCAUCAGCUAGUUGGUGAGGUAAUGGCUCACCAAGGCGUAGACGGGUAGGGGGCCUGAGAGGGUGACCCCCCACACUGGGACUGAGACACGGCCCAGACUCCUACGGGAGGCAGCAGUAAGGAAUAUUGCCCAAUGGGUGCCAGCCUGAGGCAGCAACGCCGCGUGGAGGAGGAAGGGUUUCGGCUCGUAAACUCCUUUUCUGAGGGAAGAGGAAGGACGGUACCUCAGGAAGAAGUCUCGGCUAACUACGUGCCAGCAGCCGCGGUAAAACGUAGGAGGCGAGCGUUAUCCGGAUUUACUGGGCGUAAAGCGCGUGCAGGCGGUUAUUCAAGUCAGGCGUGAAAGCUCCCGGCUCAACUGGGAGAGGACGUAUGAAACUGGAUAACUAGAGAUAGGUAGAGGCUUACGGAAUUCCGGGCGGAGUGGUGAAAUGCGUAGAGAUCCGGAGGAAGACCAGUGGCGAAGGCGGUAAGCUGGGCCUGAUCUGACGCUCAGACGCGAAAGCAUGGGGAGCGAACGGGAUUAGAAACCCCGGUAGUCCAUGCCGUAAACGAUGCAGACUAAGUGCUAGUGACGGACAGUUGGUAGUGCUGAAGCAAACGCGAUAAGUCUGCUGCCUGGGGAGUACGGCCGCAAGGCUAAAACUCA